AAAACUUUGAGAGAAAAAAGGGGAGGAGAGCAUGAAAAAGAGAAAUAAAAAGAGAGAAGGAAAGAGAGAAAGAAGAAGAGAGAAAAAGGGUUUCAAGAAUCUCUAGGUGCCUAAGGAUUGAUUUGCUUUGUGUUCUUGAACACUACUAAUGAGGUAAAUCAUGGACAAAAGGGUGCUAGGUGAAUCAUGGACAAACAAGCGCCAUGGAAAUGACUAAAAGGAGAGUCACAUGUGAUUAUUGGACAAUAGGGGAGUCAUGAUCUUAUGUUGUAUGUUUAUGUGCUGAUCAUUAGACAACAGGGGAGACAUGAUCUUAUGUUGUAUGCUUAUGUGCUGAUCACUGGACAAUAGAGGAGCCAUGAUCUUAUGUUGGAUGCUUAUACUUAUGAUCUUAUGAUGAAUGAUUAUGCUUAUUUUGCAAAUGAUCCUACGUUUAUGAUUAUGACCUUAUAAUGUACGAUUAUGCUUGUGUCGCAAUUAGUCUCGUGUUUAUGAUUAUGACUUAUGUUGAUAGUGAUUGUUAUAAGAAAAAUAUGUUAAGAAUGUAUGAGAUAUGUCACUUAUGCUUGUAUGUCUUGUUUGUACUUCCUUACUGGGAUUUUAGCUCACCCCCUUACUUUCCUCGUUGCAAGUAAACACUAGGUAGACUUGUUUGGCAUGCAUAGUGAGCUGAGUCAUUUCCAUAAGUAUGUAUGUAUGCUGCGGGAAGCUAUUGAACGAGAAAACGAUCUGGAACGCCAUAGUGCA
This is a long non-coding RNA of Humulus lupulus (European hop), 747 nucleotides long. RefSeq lists it as uncharacterized. The record is from RefSeq and is a predicted model, not a curated record. The transcript is spliced from 3 exons. Lineage: Eukaryota; Viridiplantae; Streptophyta; Magnoliopsida; Rosales; Cannabaceae.